RNAcentral lists this ribosomal RNA (494 nucleotides) under uncultured bacterium. RNAcentral's name for it is "bacterial SSU rRNA". It matches the Rfam family "Bacterial small subunit ribosomal RNA", at positions 29 to 518 of the family's 1533-position model. The record is from RNAcentral.
AUGAACGCUAGCGACAGGCCUAACACAUGCAAGUCAGGGGCAGCACAAGGAGCAAUCUGAGGUGGCGACCGGCGCACGGGUGAGUAACACGUAUGCAACCUGCCUGUAAGCGGGGAAUAACCCGUUGAAAGACGGACUAAUACCGCAUAAUACUAAAUUACUGCAUGGUAAUUUAUUUAAACAUUUAUGGCUUACAGAUGGGCAUGCGCAUGAUUAGCUAGUUGGAGAGGUAACGGCUCCCCAAGGCAACGAUCAUUAGGGGUUCUGAGAGGAAGGUCCCCCACACUGGUACUGAGACACGGACCAGACUCCUACGGGAGGCAGCAGUGAGGAAUAUUGGUCAAUGGACGAGAGUCUGAAUCAGCCAAGUCGCGUGCAGGAAGAAUGUCCUAAUGGAUUGUAAACUGCUUUUGCAGGGGAAUAAAGUGCAUCACGUGUGAUGUUUUGUAUGUACUCUGCGAAUAAGGAUCGGCUAACUCCGUGCCAGCCGCAGC